AUAAGUUACUAAGGGCACACAGGGGAUGCCUUGGAUUUGAGAGGCGAAGAAAGACGUGAUAAGCUGCGAUAAGCUACGGGGAGGAGCACAUAUCUAGUGAUCCGUAGAUUUCUGAAUGGGGCAACCCGUUAUGUUGAAGACAUAACACUCGAAAGAGAGCUAACCGGGCGAACUGAAACAUCUAAGUACCCCGAGGAAGAGAAAACAAAAGUGAUUUUGGUAGUAGCGGCGAGCGAACCCGAAAUAGCCCAAACCGGUUUUGUUUCGGCAAGGCCGGGGUUGUAGGACUACAAUGUGGACUUAAACGUUAUAGAAGAACCAAGUUGGAAAGCUUGACCAUAGGGGGUGAUAGUCCCGUAUUUAAAAUGGCGUUUAUACCUAGUAGUAUCCUGAGUAGGGCGGGACAUGUGAAAUCCUGUCUGAAUCUGCCAGAACCAUCUGGUAAGGCUAAAUACUCCUCAAAUACCGAUAGUGAACUAGUACUGUGAAGGAAAGGUGAAAAGAACCUUGAAUAAAGGAGUGAAAUAGAACCUGAAACUGUGUGCCUACAAGCGGUCGGAGCCUACGGGUGACGGCGUGCCUUUUGCAUAAUGAUCCUACGAGUUACCGUCACUGGCAAGGUUAAGGGCUUCAGGUCCGGAGCCGAAGCGAAAGCGAGUCUGAAUAGGGCGUAUAGUCAGUGGUGGUAGACGCGAAACCUUGUGAUCUACCCAUGGCCAGGUUGAAGUUUUGGUAACACAAAAUGGAGGACCGAACCAGUAAACGUUGAAAAGUUUUUGGAUGAGCUGUGGGUAGGGGUGAAAGGCCAAUCAAACUGGGAAAUAGCUCGUACUCCCCGAAAUGCAUUUAGGUGCAGCGUCGAGGUUAAGUUUUAUAGAGGUAGAGCUACUGAUUGGGUAAGGGGGCUUCAUCGCCUACCAAACCCAGACAAACUCCGAAUGCUAUAAAAUAUACUCGGCAGUGAGGGCAUGGGUGCUAAGGUCCAUGUCCGAAAGGGAAAGAACCCAGACCAUCGGCUAAGGUCCCAAAAUAUAUGCUAAGUUGGUAUAACGUGGUUUGAUUGCAUAGACAGCUAGGAUGUUGGCUUGGAAGCAGCCAUUCAUUUAAAGAGUGCGUAACAGCUCACUAGUCGAGCGAUCGGGCAUGGAUAAUAAUCGGGCAUUAAGCAUAUUACCGAAGCUGUGGUUUUCUUGUUUUAUGACGAGAAGAGGUAGGGGAGCAUUCCAGUUAGCGCAGAAGGUGCAUCGUAAGGUGUGCUGGAGCAUCUGGAAAAGCAAAUGUAGGCAUAAGUAACGAUAAUGCGGGCGAGAAACCCGCACACCGGAAGACUAAGGUUUCCUGAUCAACGUUAAUCGGAUCAGGGUUAGUCGGGGCCUAAGGCGACCCUGCUGUAGUGGCAGGUUAGUCGAUGGACAACUGGUUAAUAUUCCAGUACUGACCGGUAUUGCGAUGGAGAGACGGAGUAGUGGCAGCACCGCCCACUGACGGAAUAGUGGGUUGAAGGGGUGUAGGUAAAUUAUAGGCAGGCAAAUCCGCUUAUGAUGCUGAACCCUGAUAGUACCGGGAGUUUUCGGACGAACGGAUAGUGUGUGUAAUCAGACUUCCAAGAAAAUCUUCUAAGCAUCAGAUACCGGCCACCCGUACCGUAAACCGACACAGGUAGUCGAGGAGAGAAUCCAAAGGUGCUCGAGUGAUCCAUGGCUAAGGAACUAGGCAAACUAACCCUGUAACUUCGGGAGAAAGGGUCCCUGCAUUGCAAGUGCGGGGCGCAGAGAAAUGGCCCAGGCGACUGUUUAUCAAAAACACAUGGCUUUGCAAAAUCGUAAGAUGACGUAUAAGGCCUGACACCUGCCCGGUGCUGGAAGGUUAAAAGGAGAUGUUAGUCUUAAGGGCGAAGCAUUGAAUUGAAGCCCCAGUAAACGGCGGCCGUAACUAUAACGGUCCUAAGGUAGCGAAAUUCCUUGUCGGGUAAGUUCCGACCUGCACGAAUGGUGUAACGAUCUGGGCACUGUCUCAGCCAUGGGCUCGGUGAAAUUGUAGUAUCGGUGAAGAUGCCGAUUACCCGCAACGGGACGGAAAGACCCCGUGAACCUUUACUAUAGCUUCACAUUGACAUUGGACACUUUAUGUGUAGGAUAGGUGGGAGACUUUGAGGCUGCGUCGCUAGGCGUAGAUUAGUCGUUGUUGAAAUACCACCCUUAAAUUGUCUGAUGUCUAACCCCUUAAUCGGGAGACAGUGUGUGGUGGGUAGUUUGACUGGGGUGGUCGCCUCCAAAAGAGUAACGGAGGCUCCUAAAGGUACCCUCAGCACGCUUGGUAACCGUGCGUAGAGUGUAAUGGCAUAAGGGUGCUUGACUGAGAGACCGACAAGUCGACCAGGUAGGAAACUAGAGCAUAGUGAUCCGGUGGUUCCGCAUGGAAGGGCCAUCGCUCAAAGGAUAAAAGGUACGCCGGGGAUAACAGGCUGAUCACUCCCAAGAGCUCAUAUCGACGGAGUGGUUUGGCACCUCGAUGUCGGCUCGUCACAUCCUGGGGCUGGAGAAGGUCCCAAGGGUUGGGCUGUUCGCCCAUUAAAGUGGCACGCGAGCUGGGUUCAGAACGUCGUGAGACAGUUCGGUCCCUAUCUGUUGUGGGCGUUAGAUUUUUGAGAGGACCUUCCUCUAGUACGAGAGGACCGGGGAGGACAUACCUCUGGUGUACCUGUUGUGGCGCCAGCUGCAUUGCAGGGUAGCUAAGUAUGGAUGAGAUAAGCGCUGAAAGCAUCUAAGCACGAAACUCACCUCAAGAUGAGAAAUCUUUUAAGGGCCGUGGAAGACUACCACGUUGAUAGGCUACAGGUGUAAAGAUGGUAACAUCAAAGCCGAGUAGUACUAAUUACCCGUAAACUUAUAGUAU
This 2895-nucleotide ribosomal RNA is filed under the name Bacteroidales bacterium. RNAcentral's name for it is "23S ribosomal RNA". It matches the Rfam family "Bacterial large subunit ribosomal RNA". Lineage: Bacteria; Pseudomonadati; Bacteroidota; Bacteroidia; Bacteroidales. The record is from RNAcentral.